Molecule: long non-coding RNA, 227 nt
Filed under: Gallus gallus (chicken)
Lineage: Eukaryota; Metazoa; Chordata; Aves; Galliformes; Phasianidae
Source: RNAcentral
CUGGUAUCAAACAUCCCUGCUCUUGUCAGCUCCUUCUCAGCUCGACACCUUUCCCUUCCUCUGCCUUGGGAUCAGAGGGCUCUACCUGCCCUGGGUGAAGCUCCGUGGGUGGCUGCAGAUGCAAGCACAGCACAGUACGGCUUUGUACUCCCUUCAAAACAGCAGAAUGUAUAUGGUUUCCACUUGAAAAUGGAAUAAAAAUUCAGUCCCCACAGGAAACAUCUGAG